CUAGAAGCUCCCGACUUUGGUAACACCAACAACGUAACUAAUGAGAUGUGGACCAAACAGACUGAAAACAAUGAAGAUGGAUUGUUGGAAGGGAGCAGGGAGCCAGAAGAUGUUGCAAUUCCUGAUGUGAAACCCGAGUCUUCAAAGAAUUCCUACUCCCCAAGAUUUUCAGAGGGGAAUUACUGGCACUUGCGUUUCCGCUGGUCAGGCGAUGCUCCAUCAGACCUUCUGAGGAAAUUCAGAAACUAUGAGAUCUAAAAUGAGAAACACACAAGAGCAUGAGAUCAUCUGUUCAACAGUUCAGUAUUUUACUUUGCCAGCAGUUAUAAGUUAUUUGUAUUUUGUAUUCUUUGAUUGUAAUGUGUUGUUCCAAUCAAUGUCUAAAUACUGAUUAAUCACAUAUGUGUGGGCAUUAUCAAUGGAGGUUUUUCUGUUUAAUAAGCAAAGCUCUUUUCAGUAUUAACAUAAAGCGAUUUUGUGAAGUUAUCUAACAUCUUAUAUAUUGUUUCUUGUAUUCUCAAGUAUUGUGUAGUGAUUAAUAUUUCUCUCAAUAGUGUGAUGUUAUAAAAAACAUAUUCUAACUAGGACCCUGAACUCAGGGUAUCCUAUUCAACUGUGAUCUUCCAAAAGCUGUAUGACAAUGAAUCAUGCUUAUUUGUGAGCUCUGUGCUCUGCUUCACUUCUCCAUUGCAUUGUGCUCACCACAGUGAUUUAUAAUGUACUCAUUACAAACUUGUAGGAGAAUUGUGAUCUUGUGCUAUACAUGAAAUAAGGUUCUUGUUAUCCAAGGUCUCUGCAACAGAUCAAGCACUCCUAAAAAUCACUUGUUUUCUACCUUAACAAGUACACUUUCUGUAGCAGCUAUUUAUUUUGGAAGGCAGUUCCAGAACUUUUCUUCUCCAGAUAGCAAUUUUUGUCUUAAGAUUUAUCGGUGGAAAACUGAUUCCCCGUGUAUGUGUGCCAACAUUGUCCUGUGGCUUCAUAGCAAUUUCCCUCCUUGCUCAGGUGUGGUAAACACUGUUUUAUCAGGGUUUUGUAGGGUGAGGAAUGAAAAAUCAGACUAGUCAGCACUAAUGUGUACAAAAUCUCACAUGAAAAGUUUUUGGUACUUUAGGCAACUGUUCAAAUUCUACAUGGUUGUUUAUUUAUUUUGUGUUUGUUUGCUUCUUUGCAAACUUGGCUAAUAUGCCAGGUAUUGACAUUGUGGUUUUGUUCAGGCAGAUAAUUCCAUCAUCAGCAAAUAAAACUGCUUGUAUACA
This 1259-nucleotide long non-coding RNA is filed under the name Malurus cyaneus samueli. RNAcentral's name for it is "lncRNA (ENSMCSG00000008592.1)". The record is from RNAcentral. Lineage: Eukaryota; Metazoa; Chordata; Aves; Passeriformes; Maluridae.